Molecule: non-coding RNA, 87 nt
Organism: Caenorhabditis elegans
Lineage: Eukaryota; Metazoa; Nematoda; Chromadorea; Rhabditida; Rhabditidae
Source: Ensembl
GAAAUGGCUCAUCAAAGAAACAAAAAGACAAAAGAAGGGAAUAAAAAGGAAUCUGGUCAGGAGGUGGAUGUUUCAAGUAAACAAUUC